ACGGGUGUGCAUGCGUGUGUGGGGUCUGCGUGCAUGCACAUGGAGUGUCACAUGUGCGUGUGCCCAGGGCAUGCACACACACACAUGUGUGCAAGCCCCAGGGCUGUGUGUAUGUGCACAUGGGUACAUGUGCCCAGGGGUGACCAUACACAUACACAUACACAUACACAUACACAUACACAUACACAUACACAUACACAUACACAUACACAUAUGUGCAAGACCCAGGGCUGUGUGUGUUCGUGUGUGAUGUGUGUGUGCAUGGGUACCUGUGCCCAGCGGUGAGCACACACAUGUUCAAGCCCCAGGACAUGUGUGUGUGUGCACAUGGGUGCACAUGUCCAGGGGUGACCAUAUACAUACGAAUACGUGCAAGCCCCAUGUGCAUGUGUGUGUACAUGGCAUGGUGCAGGGGACGGUGGGGGGGGGGCGCACUGUCGAGCCGAGCCGAACCGAACCGAACCGAGCCGAGGCGGCGCGAUCCGAUUGCGAUCGACUCGAUCCGAAGAGGGGCCGAACUGAUCCGAGAAGGGGCCGACCCGAUCCGAGGAGGACACGAACUAAUCCGAAGAGAGGCCGAUCCGAUCCGAGCGGGGCCGACCCGAUCCGAGUAGGGACCGAUCCGACCCGAGAGGGAGACGAACUGAUUCGAGGAGGGGCCGAUCCGAUCCGAGGAGGGGCCGAUCCGAUCCGAGCGGAGCCGAGCGGGGCCGAGCGGGGCCGAGCGCCAGCCCAUUCUCAUAAACCACAUGCUGCCGCGGCGCUAUAAAGGGGAGCGCGGCGGCGGUGGUGGCUCAGCCCGGCCCCGCUCGGCCCCGCCGCCGCCUCGCCCGCUCCGCCCGGCCCCGCCGCAGCCCCGGCCCCACGGCAGCCCCCAUGCCCCGCCUCGGAGCCAAGGUACGGCGGCCCCUCCCGUUAGCCCGGCGCGGCGCCCGCUGCCACCGGUGCGGGGUCCCCUCGUAACCCGCUCCCCCGGGGCAGGCAGCGGGACAGGGCAGAGCUCCGUGUCGGGAGUCCCGGCUCCCGGCGGGGUGAUGCUCCAGCCCCAGCUCGGUUGUUGGACCCGCGGGAUGAGGCUCCAGCCCCCCUCCCGAUGCUCGGUUCCAGCACUGGGGCUCCCGGAGCCGAAGGGUGAAGCCCCGGGUUCUCGGUUCCAGCCCUGUCUCGCUUCCCGGAGCUGGCGGGGAGAGGCCCCGGCUCCAGCCCGUCCCGUCCCGGCGGGGUGAGGCUCC
RNAcentral lists this long non-coding RNA (1232 nucleotides) under Strigops habroptila (Kakapo). RNAcentral's name for it is "lncRNA (ENSSHBG00005017021.1)". Lineage: Eukaryota; Metazoa; Chordata; Aves; Psittaciformes; Psittacidae. The record is from RNAcentral.